Molecule: ribosomal RNA, 253 nt
Filed under: uncultured archaeon
Lineage: Archaea
Description: partial 16S ribosomal RNA
Rfam family: Archaeal small subunit ribosomal RNA
Source: RNAcentral
UACUCGCGGUCCAAGUCGCAGCCAUCUUUAUUGGGUAUAAAACAUCCGUAGCUUGCUUGAUAAGUUUCUUGUGAAAUUUCAUAUCUUAAAUAUGAAGCGCGCAAGAAGUACUGUUGAGCUAGAGACUGGAAGACGUAAGAAGUACGUUUGGAGUAGCGGUAAAAUGUGUUAAUCCCAGACGGACUAACAACAGCGAAGGCAUCUUACGAGGACAGUUCUGACAGUAAGGGAUGAAGGCUAGGGGCGCAAAACG